UUUAUACUACCUCCGUCCAAUAAAAGAUGUCUCAAAUUUGUCAAAAUUUGGAUGUAUGUAGACAUGACUUAGUGUAUAGAUGCAUUCAAAUUUAGUCAAAGUUGAGACAUCCUUUGUUAGACGGAGGGAGUAUAAU
Brachypodium distachyon (stiff brome) is the source of this 136-nucleotide non-coding RNA. NCBI's taxonomy places the organism in Eukaryota, Viridiplantae, Streptophyta, Magnoliopsida, Poales, Poaceae. The record is from Rfam.